AUGGCCAUACCACGUUGAAAGCACCGGUUCUCGUCCGGUCGCCGCAGUUAAGCAACUUUGGGCGUGGUUAGUACUUGGAUGGGUGACCGACUG
RNAcentral lists this ribosomal RNA (93 nucleotides) under Embiratermes neotenicus. Lineage: Eukaryota; Metazoa; Arthropoda; Insecta; Blattodea; Termitidae. The record is from RNAcentral.